This is a non-coding RNA of Pelobates cultripes (western spadefoot toad), 30707 nucleotides long. The record is from the annotation of a GenBank genome assembly. Lineage: Eukaryota; Metazoa; Chordata; Amphibia; Anura; Pelobatidae.
GUAAGAUUAAUUACUUUGUUUUCUGUUGCAUGUUUCUCCUUUUCAACCUUGGCCAAUGUUAGCUCAAGGUCAUCGAUAUCUUUCUUCAGUUCAGAACAUUCAUCUUCCAGUUUCCUCUUCUUAGCAGUCAGUUCAGCAUUAGAUUCCUCCUCAUCUUCCAGCCUUUCAUUAAUUUCCUUAACCUUUGCUUCCAGUUGAAUCUUAGCUUUAAUGAGUCCCUCACAUCUUUCUUCUGCAUCUGACACAGCCUCAGAUUCCUGUGGAAAAGUAUUUUGAUGACAACUAUUUCUUUAUGGUUAAAAAUAUUGCAAAAUUACAGAUGAACUACAUAUUCGUACUUCUAGUGUAUGGAAAAAUCAUUUUGAAAUGGUCUUACAUUUACACUGGCAGAUUUAGCAGAAUAUGUUAUGUAGUUCAGUAUAUUUUAAAAUAUUAUGUAUACGUUAAAAAGGUUUUCUGAACUGUCAACUACCUAACUGUAAUGUUAUAGCUGUUUUAAGUAACUUACAGAUGCAACUUGGAGCUGUAGAUCAUUCUUUUCUUGGAGGAUGCCGACCAUUUUCUCCUCUAGUUCCUUUCUCUUGGCUUCUGACUUCUGAAGAGCCUCCUUUGUCUUCUCAAACUCUUCUUUCAUGUUGGCCAUUUCCUUCUCAGAUUCUGCACUCUUCAGAAGAGGCUUGAUCUUGAAGUACAGCUUCAUCCAUGGCCAAUGUUUGACGUUCAUGAAUGAGCGGACAUUGUACUGGAUACAGAAGAUUGAUUCCCUAAAAUAAAUUUAAUAGAUUUGAUUUAUCAUAUGAACCCAACAUUUAUUGUAUAGGUAAUAUAUUUGUAUGUUUAUAAUAUAGGGGUGUAAAGUACCUCCUCUCCAUCAUCCUCUGAAACUCUACUCUCAUGAGGUAUCCUCUGCACCUAGCCUGCGUACGAGUGAUCAGCUGAGCUAAUUUGUCAUCUCGCAUCUCUUCAAGGGUACCCAAGAGACCAGCUUUGAAGAAGACCUUUGGUUAUAACAAUCAAAACACAUUGUUUCAGUAACAUUCUGGGAUGUGUAUAAAAUUAUAAUAUUUACAAUGUAUUAUACAAUUUAAGAAUAGCUUAAAUUAGCUGAGAUUAUAUUUUAUAAUCCUAGCAAUUAUUAGACUCCAGUUACACUAUUUACCUUGGUGUGACCAAAUCUAUACUGAGUAUGGUCAACAUCAAUGGAUCCAAGUAGUUUCUCUGAAGCUUUCUUGCUGUCAAUAAAUGUACCCUCUGGGAUAGCACUGGCAUUGAGGACCUUGUAACUGUUUUUAAAAUGGAGAAAUGCAAACAUUUGUUGUGUCUUACAUUUAUUGUCUAAAUACUCUUAAAUAUGCUACAUUUAAGUUACCAAAAAUCUUACAUGCUGCUUAAAGUUAAGAGUGAGUGAAUAACUCAUACCGUUGUUUGAAGUCACCAUAAAGAAUUCUGCUUGGGAAUCCUUUCCUGCAAAUUCUGAUUCCCUCCAGGACACCAUUACACCUGAGCUGAUGCAUAACCAGGUAGUGGUCCAUCACACCUGGUAAAACAGCUCAAUCAAAACUCCAGUAUUUAUGAAAUUGCUUAAAUUAUGGCAGCACCUUUUGAUGUAGAGUAAUAGAAACAUAUUUAUUUUUACUCACCUGGAGUUUUUGUCUCAUUGGGGAUCAGACAACGUACAAAGUGAGGAUGAGUGCUUCUCAGGUUGGUCAUCAGUUUGUUCAGAUUCUCCUGUAGAUUGAAGAUAUUAUGUAAUGUCAUCAUAUAUGUAUUGUCAACAUCUUCCACAAUUGCAAAAAUAUAGGAACGGGUGGGGAAACUUUAAUAUUGCAAUUACCCUAAAAAGAGCAGACACAGUCUGGAAAGAAGAGCCCUUCUUCUUACCACCCUUCUUGCCACCAGUUUCUGAAGGAGAAAUAUUUUUUUAUUUAGUAGGAUAAGUAGUUUAUGAUAUCACCCUAUUAUUACAAUAUUACAGAGAAGCAAUGCUAUGGACAUGCUGACAUGGAAAAAAAAAAAAACAUUGUGUCCUCAUCAAGAUUACCUACCUUGGUCUGCAGCAUAAGAGGAGUACAGGAAUGAGAGCAACUUCACAGAAGAUUUCUGGUACAGCCCAAUGACGGUUUCAUUCAGUGGAUCCUUGUUCUUGUCCAGCCAGCCACUGAUGUUGUAAUCCACUGUUCCAGCAUAGUGGACAAGGGAAAAGUGAGCCUCGGCUUUGCCUUUACCAGGCUUUGGUUUCUGGAAGUUGUUGGACUUGCCAAGAUGCUGAUCAUACAGUUUAUUGGUGAAUGAAGUGUCAGUUGCCUUGGGGAACAUGCACUCCUCUUCAAGGAUGGAGAAGAUGCCCAUUGGCUAUUGAUUAUACCAUGAAAACAGUCAAUGAAUGGAGCAAUACUUUAACACAUAUAUUAAUUUAUCCAUUUCUCUAUGGGAAUAUGUUUAAAUAAAUUGUAUAUAUAAUGUUGUUUUGGUUUUGAUUUGUAAUUAUUUUUAACUUCAAUAUCAUCUGAACGUUUUUUCUUGUGCUACAAGUGUUGCUGUGUUUUGAAAGAUAACUUCUAGUGAACAUUAUUCUUUACCUUCUCAAUAAGCUCAAUGCAGGCCGCCAAGUCCAUGCCGAAGUCAAUGAACUCCCAUUCGAUACCUUCCUUCUUGUAUUCCUCUUGUUCUAAGACGAACAUGUGGUGAUUGAAGAACUGUUGCAGUUUCUCAUUGGUGAAGUUGAUACACAACUGCUCCAAACUGUUGAACUAAUUAAGAAAAAAUACAAAUCAUACAUAUAAGUAUCAUAUAAUGUCACAUUUUACAUAUCUCAUGCAUGAUUUGCCACAGACAUAUUAUGUCAUAAUUCUUACGUCAAAGAUUUCAAAGCCGGCAAUGUCCAAGACACCAAUGUAGUGCUGUCUUGGCUGUUUGGUGUCCAACUGCUGGUUAAUACGAAUGACCAUCCACAAGAACAUCUUCUCAUAGACUGACUUACUCAGGGCACCAACUGAGUUGUUAACCUUUCAACAAAUAAAAAAUUUGAAAUCAUUACAAGCAAUGAUGACUUUUUCACUCAUGUUUGGCAGAUAUUGCACUGAAAUUACCUGUUGCACAGUUUGACCUUUGGUCACAAAUUCAUUCCCAACUUUGACUCUUGGGUAGCACAAGGCCUUCAGUAGAUCGGCAGAGUUGAGACCCAUUAGGUAGGAAAUUUUGUCAGCCACUGAAAGAUAGUUAAAAAAAAAUACAUUGUUAUUCCCUGUUUGUGAAGCUACAGUAAGGCCACUUACUGUAUCUAAGGGUGAUGCUUAGAUUUCCCAAGUUAAAACCUUACCUGAAAACAACAUCAUUCAGUUUUUCUUGAAUUACUAACCCUUCACCCAUGAUAUAAUUUACAUAACAGAAAUGAAUUGUUACAGCUGAUAAUGAAGGGUAAGAAAAUGUGACAAUUAAAACACUUUGGGAAGAGGGAUAUCUUUACUGUUAUUUGAAUGCACUGAUAAUUCACUGUAUGUCCAUGAGUAAUCCAUCGGGUAAUGUCCUAUUUUUACCUUCUGUGCCAUCUGGCUCAGCCUGUUCCUCUCUUUGUUUCUGCUUGAAUUUCAUGUUGCCAUGGUGCAUAACCGCUCCCGUCAGUUUGUAGAUUCCUAGUUUCUCAUCAGCAUUGAAACCGAGGAUGUCAAUGGCUUCCUGUGAAAACAUGGAGUUGGGGAAAUAUUUAUCAUGGUGCAGAAUGGAAACAUGACAUUGGAACAUACAUGAAGUUGAAGGAACGUACAUCAGUGGCCAUCAGUUCAUCUUGGUCAUUAAUGCUGGCCACUGUGAUUUCACCUUGGCUGACAAGUGGGAAGUCAUAUGGGUUAGUUGAAAUCAGCAGCUGGUCUGUAAAAUAUGAAACAUGAAACAUAUAUUUUUGCAAAUUCAAACCCCCCACUUCACAUCUUUGUUAUUUAUUUCUUUUUUGGUAUGAAACAAACAAAAGAAAACAGUAAUGACAAAGACAAUUGUAAGUAGCAAGUUCAAAAUCAAGUAUAUAUGAAGUAGAUAAUUGUAUAAAAAGUAUCUGUCCCCAAAGUUAUGUGACUGAGUUCAUAACAUUAUUUGUUUAUCACUCUAAAUGUUCCAUUACACCUAUUAAUUACUUUCUUAGAAUAUAUAUGGAAAUGUUUGUUUACCGAUCAACUCUGGUUUCUUGUUGGACAUGACUUGGUAGAAGAUAUGGUAGCUCCUCUCAGCUGACAACUGGAAUGUGACUCUGGAUUUUUCCAGAAGAUCUAAUUAAAUAAAUAUAAGUGUUAGGUGAAAAUUACAAUUAAUUUCCUCAAGGUGUUCUUAAUUCUUUAACUUACAUGUUUCAAUGUCUGCAGAGGAUAGUUUUCCUGUUGCACCAAAGUGAAUUCUGAUGAAUUUACCCUAUACAUAUCAAACAUAAAUAAUCGAAUUAAAACAGAAAAAUGAUUGAUGUCAGAUGUACUUGUUUACGCAAGAAGCAGGACGUUUAUUGCCAUUUGCACUGAAAUGUGAAAUGUUGUGCUAUGAUCGCUAGACUGCAUUAGAAACAUCAUGUCUGUAUUUGUGGCUAUCUGGACAACUAUAACGUGGGUGUUGUACUGUGUCUGAUGUACAACAAUGAUUAGUGAUCUGUUUAAAGAGUCAGUGUUCAAAUGCAAAGAAUUUUUUUUUUAAAGUGUCUUUCAAUUAAUGAAAAUGAAGAUGCUCUGUAAUCUACAUAAAUCAGGAAGUUGAAAUGACAAUGUUAAAACUGUAUAAAAAAAUCACAAUCUAUUCAUGUGAAUUAAGAUGGUUUGUGAGAGCGACGAUUUACAAAAAAAAAUAAAAAAUGUUUCUAUCUUGCAAUGACGGUGUAGCCGACGUGGUCAGACUUACGAAACGGGAUGAGUUGUCGUUCCUCACAGUCUUGGCAUUGCCAAAGGCUUCCAGCAGAGGGUUAGCCUGGAUGAUUUGAUCUUCCAGAGUGCCCUAGAAAAAGGAAUAUUAUAUACUCAUUAAAUAUAUUUUUAUGGAUGUUGAUAAAGCACGAGGAAGAUCUUAGGUGUAUUAAGGGUUUGGUUUAUUUUAAAAUAGCAGGGUAUAAAUAAUAAGUAUGGCUUUUAAAUAACCUGCUAUAUAUUUCAAGAAACCAACCUUGCUCUUCUCCACCUCCUUUUGCUUCUUGUCUCCAGUAGCUGCAAUUGUUGCAAAGUACUGGAUGACGCGUUUCGUGUUCACAGUCUUCCCAGCACCAGAUUCUCCGCUGGGGAAUACAAAUAGAUAAAGAGAGAAAGAUAUAAUUGCAAAAAAAAUAAAAAAAAAUAACACAGAAUUUAAAUCUAAUUUAGGGCUAUUUUCUUGGUGAUGGCGAUAUCAAAAUAUACUGGGGGUUAUUAUGGGAGCUAUACCAAUACAAUCCAUUGGAACACUGCCAUUGAUGACUCCUCAUUUAGAACUUUAUUCCAAAAUUGCUCUUUGUAGAUAAAACCUAGUAUCACCCUAAUGAAAUAUAUAUUUGAAUGAAUCAUUAUUUGCUAUAAAAUAUAAAUAAAAGAAUGAGUUUUAUUUGUUUAAAAAGGAUUUUAUAAUUUUAUAAAUUAGGAUUAUUUCACAAUUAUUGCUCAAACAUUAAUUAUUUUUUUUUGCCCCAUAGGUUUAAUUAAUAAUUAGAAAAUCCUAAUGUGAAACUUACGUAAUUAGGACAGACUGAUUUUCCCGAUCUAUGAAAAAAUAAAAUAUAAAGUGUGUUUUAUUAAAUGUUAUCACAUAUUUUAUUCACAUAUCUCGAAAUGUAAAAGCUGAAUUACUAAAGUAUAUACUUAGUAUAUUGUUUAUACGUGCACUGUAUAUUUAUUUAUAUAGUUAUACUAUAAUAUAAAUUUAUAUACAUAUAUGUGUGUUACCAUAGAUUUUUUUUCAGUUUAAGCACAGAAUUAAAUGCACAAUACCUAUUAAAAAGAUGACCACAUUUUAUUCUUAUUUGUCUGGAAGGUUUGCUUCUCUUUCUAACUAUUAAUUAUAUUUCCGAUUGUUUUGUUACAUUAUUACUGUGGUUAGAUAAUUGUUAGGACUGCUUACCAGUUAACAUGAACUGAUAGGCGUUAUCAGAGAUGGAGAAGAUGUGUGGUGGGGCUUCCUGACGCUUUUUGCCUCUGUAAGCAUUGACCACCUCGGGAUUGUACACAGGCAGCCACUUGUAGGGGUUGACUGUAGCACAGAACAGGCCGGAAUAGGUCUAGAGUGAACACGGAAUAAAUAAAUAGGUGUUAGAUCAUAGCUAAUCAUAGACACAGUUUGUUUUAUUUCACAAAAACUUUAUUUCUGCAACAAUUGGUUACGAUAUACAAAUACAUACAACCAGAACAAUUAAAGCUGUAAUUAUGAAUUAUAGUACAAACUGAGCUAUUGUGAAUCAAAUUGAUAUAAAUUUCCAAAGUCAAAGCUGAAAAAAACUGCCUUUUAAAUAAAAAAAUGAUCUUGAACAAAGCAUGUGAAAUUUAUUUAUGCUGCAAUUCUAUUAAAUUUCAGUAUGUUCUAUGCUUUGUAUUGAAAUAAAAAGAUAAUCCCUAUUAAUAGUAAUGUUUUCAGGGUGCUUGCUUGUAAAAAAUGAUUAAUAAUUAGAGUCCUCACUAAUAAUAGGGAAAACAUUUACAAAUGAUUGUUCAAUUCCCAUGUUUAUUUUGCGGAUCUUUUAUUUUAGUUUUGGGUUUGUGUCCUAUUUAGCCAAUGUAAGUGCUAAAAAAGAACAAGAGUCCUUACGUAGAUCAUCCAGGCUGCGUAACGCUCUUUGAGGUUAUACAGGACGGAUGGUUCGUUCAAGUGGGUCAUCAUGGCCAUGUCUUCAAUCUUAUCGUACUUGGGUGGGUUCAUAGGGAAGACUUCAUCAUCCUUCACCGUUACAGUCUAAGUCAAAGAACACAUAUAUCAUCACAAGUAUAUACUUAAUGAAAAGCUGGACAUAAAUGUAAUUCUAGUUGGAAGACAUUGCUCUCUCAACUCAUUAGAAUAUAUAUUUCUGUAGUUUAGGAAGCCAAGAGGUUUAUAAAAUAUCUGAAUUAAAAUUGUUGUAAUACCUCUCUAUGUUAGUGUUUCCAGCCUUAAAGGGACACUAUAGUCACCUGAACAACUUUAGCUUAAUGAAGCAGUUUUGCUGUAUAGAACAUGCCCAUGCAGCCUCACUGCUCAAUCCUCUGCCAUUUAGGAGUUAAAUCCCUUUGUUUAUAAACCCUAGUCACACCUCCCUGCAUGUGACUUGCACAGCCUUCCAUAAACACUUCCUGUAAAGAGAGCCCUAUUUAGCCUUUCUUUAUUGCAAGUUCUGUUUAAUUAAGAUUUUCUUAUCUCCUGCUAUGUCAAUAGCUUGCUAGACCCUGCAAGAGCCUCCUGUAUGUGAUUAAAGUUCAAUUUAGAGAUUGAGAUACAGUUAUUUAAGGUAAAUUACAUCUGUUUGAAAGUGAAACCAGUUGUUUUUUCAUGCAGGCUCUGUCAAUCGUAGCCAGGGGAGGUGUGGCUAGGGCUGCAUAAACAGAAACAAAGUGAUUUAACUCCUAAAGGACAGUGAAUUGAGCAGUGAAAUUGCAGGGGAAUGAUCUAUACACUAAAACUGCUUUAUUUAGCUAAAGUAAUUUAGGUGACUAUAGUGUUCCUUUAACUAAUGACACAUUGCAACUUACCGUGUUGUCUUCUUUCUUCACAGUGACUUUGCCACCUUCUCUGCUCUGAAUGAUACCCUUCACAUACAUCUGCUUUGGGUCUAUCACAAAGUAGGAUGUUUUGGCAUCAAACGGUCUGUUCUGUGCCUCAAGCCUCUCCUUGUCUGAUUUUCGGAGGAAUUGGGCUGCCUCCCCAAAUGCAGCCAUCUCAGCGUCACCCAUGGUUGAUGGUUUACUACACAAGAGUAAAGAUAUAUGUAGUACAAAGAGAGUAGAAUAAUUUCCCUUGAGAAGUUCUAUGUAAAGCAGGAUUCCACAGCAGAUUGCUCCUAAUACACCAGUCAUGGAAACCAAUGGAAUGGUCCUGCUUAUUGUUCCAGUCUUAGAACUUUUCCCCAGAAUUGCUCUUAAGCAUUCAGCCACCAUUUUUGUAAACUAUUUAAAUAUAAACUGCUCGUGCACAGGAACAUCAAUUCAAUCCCUACAUUUUGGUCAAUUUAACAAUGUCAGAGUACUUAAUUUAAAAUGUGUUUAAUAGGAUUAUUCUUGUUUUGUUCCCAGGAAUGAAAAGGAACUGUUAGUAAUAUGAACUGUAGUUAUUUGUUCAAUAAAUGUAAUUAUGCUAAUUUAGUUGUAUUCCCCAUAAGUACAAUUAUUUACACAAUAAACACAAGAAUUAAUAGGAAUUUUCGGUGUUUGAUUCUCAUAUUUUUUUUUCAUUUUUUUGUUUAGGUCACUCGACAGACAUACCUUUAAUAUCCUUCUUGGGUGAGAAAAAUGUGAAAUGGAACCAAGCUGUAAAAGAAAUGCAGGUAGGAUUUGCUUAAUUGUUUUUCAUGUGUUUCAGAAUACGAUUCAUUUUUAAUUUAAUGGCAAAAUUAAAGCACAACAUCAUGUUAAAAUUCCUUACUAUACUGGGUACUUUAUAAAUAUGUGAAUGUGCUUCAAUAAAUUGACUCAACGUGCCAUGGAAGGGACAGAAUGUAUUCAUGUAAUGAAUUUAUGCAAAUAUAUAUAGUUUUGUGCAAUUCAAAUUUAAUUUUUUUGAGUGUGUAUAACAGAGCGCCACUAUACUCACUAUACUCACAGUAAUGUGUCUUUAAACCCCAAUAAAUUUGUUUAGCAAUCCUUUUACAUAAAUAAGAUACAUUGUUCUUGUUCUUAAUUACAUUUUAGUUGCAAAAAUUGUUCUAAGUAAGUCAUCUACAUUUUAUCAGAACUACCAUGCCCCCAGACACACCCCCUCCCCUAAAAUAAAAGUGUCCACUUGAAAAAUUGAGAGGUAUGUGUAUCCCAUAUGGAGCUAUAUAUGGAGGUUUUUUUUUGCAUAGUUAUUAGUAAUAUUAAAAUACAGGUUUUAAAGUUCAAUGCCUGCAUGUAGACAAACUAAAUAAUAAUUCAUGGGCAAAAUGAUUCUUCAAGCUAUAUUAAGUUCCAGUGGCGUUCACUGAAAUUUUUGACCCAGUGCAUCUUCAGUAUGUUAGAUUGCCAGUGUAUACUAGACACUGCAACAUUGUUAUGCUAUUUCUUUUUGGGUGUAAUUAAACAAAGCAGUGAUUGGUCCCCCUACUAGUGUUGGACUAUAUUACUCCAUCAAAAGCAGGGGAGGGGAGCGAUAUUGGGUGUCAGGGGUUCCCAACCCAGUUCUCAGGUACUCCCUAACAGUCCAGGAUUUAGGAAUUACCCUAUGUCUAAAGUGUUUUUUUCUCUCUAAAAAGACAGACACAACUGGGUAAUCCCUUAAUCCUGGACUGUUAGGGGGUACGUUAGGACAGGGUUGGGAACCACUGUUCUAGAGGAUUAAUUGUAUUUACAGAGGCUUGAUUAAAAAGCCAACCCUUCCCCUAAAAAAUUAAAACAAGCGCCAUGUAUAGGAUUUUAAAAUAUAUUAGCAUUUAAUUACACCAUGGAAAUUCGAAAUUUGUAAUUCAGCCAGAAAAUCAUGUAGUAGAUAAAAGCACAAGAUACGGACAACUCUAUUAUUCAUAACGUGAAACGUUUGCCUUCGUGGUGUUUCCUUACCUCUAGAAGCAGUCAGUGAAGGAUAAAGAGAAGGAUGGUCACGACUCCUUUUAUACUUUUAAUUUUGCUAAUACAGCGUUAUCAAUUUCUUUAUUUGGAAAUUAAUCUCACAGCUGUAAAUGUGUCGACGCUAUCAUUUUCCCCCGGUUGACCACUGGAUGAUACAAGAUAUCUCUAACACACUACGGCCAUAUGGAAAACCGGUCUUCUACAAGGUGCCACAAGAAAUGUGUUGAUGUAUGUGCUACUGUGAUCCCAAUAUAAAACUGCGAUUUCAAGCAGAACCGAAUCGCAAUAAAAUGUACUUGUGGAUAAAAUGGAAAUUCUAUAUAUUUCCCAUUUAAGAUAAUUUGAACGGCACUAGAUUCUUGCAGGAUAUUCAUUUCAGCCGUUCUAGAACAGAUGCUUCAGUGUUGACAGUUGCUAGACCAACUAUUUCUGCCUGCAGGCACUACAUGAAGAAUGUAAUUCCGGUUUGUUAUGCAGGUUUGUAUUAAAAAUGCUACACUAAAGUAUAUUAAAAAAAAUAAAAAAUUAUAUAUAAAUAUAAAAGGGUUUCAGAGACAUUUUGAUAAACCACUAGACUGAAGGUCAGAUGCUUUAUGAGUGAGAUAGCAUCUUUUUCCUCUAAAACACAUUUCAAUGUUUACAUUUAAGAUUAAUGAUUAAGGUUAAGAUUUAGGGAUAGUGUAGUGUAGUAUAGGGGGUUAAAGGGACACUAUAUGCACCAAGACCACUUCAGCUCAUUGCAGUGGUCUGGGUGCAGUGUCCCAUGUCCCUUAACCCUACAAUAGCAAGUAUUGCAGUUUUUGAUAAACUGCAAAAAUUACCUGCUAGGGUUAACUCCACCUCUAGUGGCUGUCUACCAUCCACUAGAGGCACUUCUGGGUCAUUAGGUGACUUUUGGUCACCUAACUGACGUUGGACGUCCUCACGCUAUGCAUGAGGACAUCCAGCGUCACCCAAAGCGAUUGCCACGCAUGCACAUUAGGUUCCGCUGUCGGCUGAUGUCGGCAGGGGAGGAGCGGAGGCUGAGUUUUUAACCCCUUCUGCACCACCUGGUGGCGGAGGGUGAGAGGGAAAGGGGCACUGUAAAAUGUGGACAUUUCUGUUAGGGGAGUACUGGAACAUACAUAUCUCAGUGCAAUCAACUUUAUCUCUCUGAGCUCCAUGUGAAUGUUAGAAGACAGAAGAUUCAAAUCCAGUCUUAAAGAUACACUAACACGACAGGUCACAGGACUAACUAAACCACAUAUACAUCAUCGCUAUGAAAUUUCUAUGUUUCUAUGUUUCUAUGUUUAACAUGUAUAGCUUGGAGGAAAGACGAGACAGGGGGGAUAUGAUAGAAACAUUUAAAUAUAUAAAGGGAAUCAACACAGUAAAGGAGGAGACUAUAUUUAAAAGAAGAAAAACUACCACAACAAGAGGACAUAGUCUUAAAUUAGAGGGACAAAGGUUUAAAAAUAAUAUCAGGAAGUAUUACUUUACUGAGAGGGUAGUGGAUGCAUGGAAUAGCCUUCCAGCUGAAGUGGUAGAGGUUAACACAGUAAAGGAGUUUAAGCAUGCGUGGGAUAGGCAUAAGGCUAUCCUAACUAUAAGAUAAGGCUAGGGACUAAUGAAAGUGUUUAGAAAAUUGGGCAGACUAGAUGGGCCGAAUGGUUCUUAUCUGCCGUCACAUUCUAUGUUUCUAUGUUUCUAUGUUUCAUAGACUAGUUGAGAUCACAGUCCCAGGCAGCAGCUAUUCCAUUAGCCAACAUUAAAAUGCAGCAGCAAUGUAACUUCCUCUAAUCAAAGGCAGACCGCGACACACAUGCCCCAAUUCUGCUCGAGAUCAGGGCUCUCAGCCUUUACAGAGGUAAUCAGUGCAUCACCUGUUAUUAAAAGGAAUAAAUGCACAGAUCAGGACCAUACAGUAUGGCAUUCAAAAACAUGUUCUGUCCAUUAAAUAUCAUGUAAUAUACUGUAUGUAAUAAAUGUUUCGUUUGGCGAAAAUUUUAAUAUGGCAAUAUACUUGUCUGGUAUCUUUAAAAUAAGUGAAAAUACCACAUUACUGUUCUAAUAUGACUAUGAAAAUUGAGCCUGCUGGCGCUGUUGUGGCGAUACAGGCACUGUUGUACCUACCUGCAUACCAAAAAUAAAGAAUAAAAAAAUAAAAAAAUAAAAAAAAUAAGUGAAAAUAAAACAUUGGAUAGUAAUAUUAGAUAAAAUGCAAUUUAAGUAAUUACCACUUGUGAACAUAUAAAAUAUGUAAACCCUAAGAUUAAGUGAAAUUAGAACACUUAAAUUCCAUUUGACUUAAAUAGGGAACAUCUAUAGAAAUUAAUGUUGCACCACUCAAAGAGAUGUUAUACUGCACUAACACAGCUACCACAAUUCUAUUUUAUAUGUUGAGAGAUAUGAAUAGAUAAAUCUCCAAUAAAUUCUGCAGCGCUGUACAACGGGUGCUAGCAGACAAGUUUUUGUAACCAGAGGAGUUUAACGCACAGGAGCAGAGGGGUUGAGGGCCUUGCUCAAAAGAGCUUUCAUUCUAGAGAGAGUCGGGUAAAAUGACACGAAAAGUAAGUUGCUAGAAUAGUUUUUAAUGAGGGCUUAGUAGUUUUUUCUUUUGGACGACACAGUUUAAGAAGAGGAAGCAUGGUGCGGGCAAUAAAAGCUAGUAAUGGUUUAAUUGAUAUGCUCUCCUGAAGAAGUGAGUUUUCAGUGAUUAUUUGAAGAAAUGGAGACUGGGUAAGAGUCUAAAGGAGGGGAAGGGAGUUCCAUAGGAAUGGCACAGCCCUAGAGAAGUCUUGAAGGCGAGCAUCAGAGGUAAGAGUAUGAACAGAGGAUAGAUGCAGGUCUUUGUCAGAGUGUAGGGGCCUGGAUGGGACAGGUAUUGGGAAGGAUAGGUAGGUAGGAGAAUAUUUAUGUCGAGAUUUGUAUGCAAGCACCAGAAUUUUAAGUUGAGCCCUAUAUAUUAGAAAGCCAAUGUAGGGACUGUCAGAGGUGUGGGAGGUGCGGGCGGACAGGAAGAUAAGCCUCGCAGCCGCAUACAUUAUAGACCUUAAAAGGGCAAAUUGGGAACACGUUGGACCACAGAGAAGUGGAUUGCAGUAGUCAUGGCGAGAGAGCAUAGCAGCAUGGACCAGCAAUUUAGCUUUGUCCAGCAUUAAUUAUUGAGGGAGGAAAGACAAAAAGUUAUGUUUUGGACAAGUUAAGUUUAACUAUGUGAGCAGCUAUCCAGUUAGAAAUAGCAGAGAGGCAUUUGGAGACAUGAGUCAAGAGGGAUAGUAAAAGAUCAUGGGAGGACAGAUAGAUUUGCGUGUCAACCGCAUAAAAAGUAUAUUGGCAGCCAAAAGAGCUGAUAAGUUUACUAAGGUAUAGAACAUUAGGGGACCAAGGACAGAACAUUGGGGAACACCAACAAAGAAGGGUUGUGGAGAAGAGGCAGAGGAAGAGCCAGAGAAAGAAACACUGAAAGAGCACUGGGAGAGGUAGAAGGAGAACCAGGAGAGAGCAGUGUCUCAUAGACCGAGAUUAUGGAGGAUGAGAAGAAGUUGUUGAUGACAACAUGGUCCAAAGCAGCAGACUGGUCAAGGAGAAUUAGCAUAGAGUAGUGACCAAUAGAUUUUACAGCAAUUGAAUUAUUGGACACUUUGGUCAGAGCUGUCUCAACAGAGUGAAAAGUGCGGAAUCCAGACUGAGUAAGUCAAGUAGAGAGUUGGAUUCAAGGAAAUUGGUACACAACUUUCUCAAUGAUGUUGGAGGCAAACUAUAGUAGUGAGAUAGGGCGGUAGUUGGAUGGGGAGUUAUGGUCAAGUUUGGACUUUUUUUAGAAUUGGGCUUACAGCUGCAUGCUUCAAAGGUGAAGGAAAUGUACCAGAGGAGAGGGAGAGAUUAAAUAUUUUAGUGAGGGACAGAGCAAGCAUUAAAUACCCAUGUAUUUAUUUCAAAAUAAAGUAAUUCUAACUUCGGUAUGACUUCAAAUGAGUUCUUCUUGUGUGUGUUUUUUUUUUUAAGCAAAGAUACAAACUUGAUACACUGUGUGUUAAAUAUAGAUUGUUUCCACUGGAUUAGUCAAAAUAUCUCUUAAAAUAAAUUCUUCCCUCUUAUUAGUCAAAGAAUCAGUUUACAUCGAGCAAAAUCAGGCUGAGAUUAAAUUAGUUUAUCACGUGAGUUCCUCACGGUUCUUUAUUAAAUAUAUAUAUAAAAAAAAUUAGCUUAAGACACCAGGAACCUGUUAGGUUAACAAGUAUGAGUAACUAGGAGCCCCCUUCUAUUUGUUUAUGUUUGUCUAUAUGUCAUAUGGCAAUAGACAUAUUACAUUCGUAAUGAAUAUACCUGAAAAGCUCAUCGACUAAGAAUCUGGAACUUGGGGACAAAUUAUAAAGUUCUGGUAAUUCCCUUAUAUAGUGUUUCUCAACAUGUGUUGUUUUAGGACUUAGACUGGAUACAAAAAUUCAACAUACACCUUUCCAUUUCAUGUCCAAUAUUGGAAAUGGGUGGAAUCUGAAAUAUGGGAAGGAUGAAAGUAGUGGUCAUUCUAUUGAGGAGGCUAGUUGACCUUUGAUAAGAUGUUGUGCUGGUCAUAACUUUCCAUGGAAAUGGAAUAUAUUUCCUUUUAAGUCCUGGCACAACCCCAAGCUAACCAUGCCUGGAUAAACUCUCCCCACCAACCCACAUGGAUGCAUACACUACAUAUCCAUAGCUUAGCAGGUCUCAGUUCAAUGAGCUGUUUUACAUCCAGAUUAUCAAGCGAAGGUUUUGGCAAACGUUCUCCACUAUACAAGCCAGGAUGCCGUGCCUUUUUGUCAGUUCUAAAAGCAGUUUACGGUGUUUUUUUUUUCCAGCUAAUUCUAUUCAGUAUAAUUCCAACUUUUAGUUUCUAAAAAAAAAAAAAAAAUGAGAGAUGAAGACCCAUCACAAAGCUAAUGAAGCUGUAAUUUGUAGACUUGAAUAUUAGUUUUGUUAUUUAUUUAUUUAUUUUUUUUUGGAUUCAGGAUUUCUGAAUUGACAUAUAAACUAAUCACAAAAGCAAUGGACGAAUAUGUUCGUUUGAUUCAUGAUUCACAGUUCUCCCCAUAAUGCCAAAAAAGAAAUGACAGAUGGGAAAAAGAUGGUUGACAGAUAGUGGAAAUCUACAAAAAAAAAAUAAUAGUUAAUGUAAUAUAUACAUUUUUUAAUUUUAUUAGUCCUCCUUUUUUUCCUUUGUUAUUUACUUCUUAUUUCUUGAUCGAUUAACUAAAUGGCAGUAAAAUGCACCCCUCAAUGUUCUGCUAAAUAUAUCUAUAAUAUUUAUAUCUUGUAUAUAUUAUUACACUGGCUGACCCAUUUUCACACUCUUUUGGUUUGUCUGAUUUUGUUUUCUGUUUUUUUUUUUUAUAGUUAAUUUUCUUUAAUAAAACAGUCACAUUUCAUGUUUUGAUUUUUGUCAGCAGAAUUCUUCUGUUUUGGAUGGAUUUUUCCAUUUCUGUUGUCAAGGACGUCGUAGAGGCCAGAUUUUCACAUUAACAGAUCCUUAAAAUAGCUUCAACACCAGCAGCCUCAGCGAGGUCAAUUAACUAAUUACCUAAUUAUGACGUCUGGUCCUUUAAAUUAGUAAUGUGUCAAAAUAAAAUACAUAUUCACGCUAACUUAUUACGUUCACAAAAUAUGAAGAAAAAUAAGUUAUGUUGCUUGGGGAGAAAAAAAAAAGGCACAGUUAGAAUUCGAUGUAAUUUUUUUUACGUUGCAUACCCAUCACAUAAUACCUGCCAAUCUGACAGUGGCAUAACAAUUUGUGGAACUGAAAUAUUUUGAGAACAAAUAAAAAUAAGGAAAAGGUGAGGCGAGGUAUGGAAUAUUUUGAUGCAAAGACAACAAUGACAAACACCUAAAAAAGCAUAAAAAUUAAAUACAACACUUUAUGCAUAACCGACAAUUGUAUAACAGAGAGUCGAGAAUCUCGUUACAAAGGGGCAAGUUAGGGUGACAUGAAAAUUAAAAAUUGGUUAAAAAUCUCAUAAUGCACUAGGCUUCUGCACGAGAAUAUUUCACUUGGUACGAAAGAAUCGAUCAGUCCAGAUUUACAAUCGUUAUCCAUUUUCUUAGAAUAAUCUUUCUUGCUUUUAUUUAAUCUGUUACUCAAUAUUUUUUUUUAUUAGUUUUUUUAUUUUGUGUGAACGAGUUAUUACUCUAUAAAUGAAUGAGAAAUGAUUGUCAUAAAUAUUAACGCAUCCACUCCAUCUCCUGCCAAGAUAACUGCCUGUCCUAAUCACUUUCUGGCUUAAUGGUUGUUGAGUGUGGUAUGCGUGAAGGAAAAUUUGAGAUGCGUUACCUUCCUCCUCCGUACAUUGAUGAUUCCACCACAUGUCCUGAUAUAACUACCAAUCUGAUCAACAGAAACCUGCAACUUCAACACUUUCCGAAGUGGAUCAUUAUAACAUUAUAUCCCAAAUAUAAAUAAUGCUGUAUCGGCAUAUCCAGCUGUAUUUAAAAGGUCUUGAUACACAAUGUUAGUUCCCUCGCUGUCUUUGUGCUGCACUGGGUAAGUCUGUUUGAACGCUCCAUAAAUGAUACAUUUCUGAUUGUAUACAUAGAAAACGGACAAUGUGUGUUUCUGUAUUACAAACCUUUAUUUGAGAAAUUAGGGGUAUUUAAACGUAUUUUAAUUUACUGCUAAGGCAUUUCCAAGUGUAAAAUUAUUCUAGUAAUUAUUUAAGCAAACUUGGUCAAAGUGAUAUUGUUUGGGAAUCAAAUUGUGUAAGUUUUAAAUCUGUUUUAAAUAUACCGUAUACACUCGAGUAUAAGCCGAGUUUUUUGGCACAUUUUUUGUGCUGAAAAAGCCCCACUCGGCUUAUACUCGAGUCAAUGUCUGUAUUAUGGCAACUUACAUUGAGCCCGGCGGUCCUGUUUGAGGCUGGCAGCGAGCGGUUACCUUUACAGCAGCUCUUGUCAGCUCCCUUCUCCUCCGUGCAGCUCCCCUGUCAGCUCCGUUCUGCUCCUAGUGUAAAUCUUGCGACACCCGCGGCCGUCAGAGCGUUGCCACGGUUUACUACAUAGAGCUGCAUACAAUACAGAGAUAACCAUAUCACAAACAGAACUAUAAUCCCACAAAUAGAGAUAUAAUACACAGAACUGGGCACUAUACAGAGAUACAUAUACAAUACAGAGAACUGGGCACUAUACAGAGAUACAUGUACAAUAUAGAGAACUGGGCACAAUACAGAGAUACCUGUACAAUACACAGAACUGGGCACUAUAUAGAGAUACAUAUACAAUACACAUAGCUGGACACAAUACAGAGAUACCUAUACAAUACACAGAUACCUAUACAAUACACAUAGCUGGACACAAUACACAGAUACAUAUACAAUACACAUAGCUGGACACAAUACAGAGAUACCUAUACAAUACACAUAGCUGGACACAAUACAGAGAUACCUAUACAAUACACAUAGCUGGGCACAAUACAGAGAUACCUAUAUAAUACACAUAGCUGGGCACAAUACAGAUAUACAUAUACAAUACACAGAGCUGGUCACAAUACACAGAGAUACAUAUACAAUAGACAGAGCUUGGCACUAUACAGAGAUACCUAUACAAUAGACAGAGCUGGGCACUAUACAGAGAUACCUAUACAAUAGACAGAGCUGGGCACUAUACAGAGAUACCUAUACAAUAGACAGAGCUAGGCAUUAUACAGACGUACCUACACAAUACACCGAGCUGGUCACAAUACAGAGACACAUAUACAAUACACAGAGCUGAGCACAAUACAGAUAUAUAUAUAUAUGUAUAUAUAUAUAUAUAUAUAUAUAUAUAUAUAGACACACACACACACACACUACACAGAGCUGAGCACUAUAUAGAGAUACCUAUACAAUACACCUAGCUGGGCACAAUACAGAGAUACCUAUACAAUACACAUAGCUGGGCACAAUACAGAUAUACCUAUACAAUAGACAGAGCUGGGCACAAUACAGAGAUGCCUAUAUAAUACACAGAGCUGGACACAAUACAGAGAUACCUAUACAAUAGACAGAGCUGUGCACAAUACAGAGAUACUUAUACAAUAGACAGAGCUAGGCACAAUACAGAGAUACAUAUACAAUAGACAGAGCUGUGCACAAUACAGAGAUACCUAUACAAUACACAUAGCUGGACACAAUACAGAGAUACCUAUAUAAUACACAGAGCUGGGCACAAUACAGAGAUACCUAUACAAUAGACAUAGCUGGGCACAAUACAGAUAUACCUAUACAAUAGACAGAGCUGGGCACAAUACAGAGAUGCCUAUAUAAUACACAGAGCUGGACACAAUACAGAGAUACCUAUACAAUAGACAGAGCUAUGCACAAUACAGAGAUACCUAUACAAUAGACAGAGCUAGGCACAAUACAGAGAUACAUAUACAAUAGACAGAGCUGUGCACAAUACAGAGAUACCUAUACAAUACACAUAGCUGGGCUCAAUACAGAGAUAAAUAUACAAUACACAUAGCUGGACACAAUACAGAGAUACCUAUAUAAUACACAGAGCUGGGCACAAUACAGAGAUACCUAUACAAUAGACAUAGCUGGGCACAAUACAGAGAUACCUAUACAGUAUACAGAUACCUAUACAAUACACAUAGCUGGACACAAUACAGAAAUACCUAUAUAAUACACAGAGCUGGACACAAUACAGAGAUACCUAUACAAUAGACAGAGCUGUGCACAAUACAGAGAUACCUAUACAAUAGACAGAGCUAGGCACAAUACAGAGAUACAUAUACAAUAGACAGAGCUGUGCACAAUACAGAGAUACCUAUACAAUACACAUAGCUGGGCUCAAUACAGAGAUAAAUAUACAAUACACAUAGCUGGACACAAUACAGAGAUACCUAUAUAAUACACAGAGCUGGGCACAAUACAGAGAUACCUAUACAAUAGACAUAGCUGGGCACAAUACAGAGAUACCUAUACAGUAUACAGAUACCUAUACAAUACACAUAGCUGGACACAAUACAGAGAUACCUAUAUAAUACACAUAGCUGGGCACAAUACAGAGAUACCUAUAUAAUACACAGAGCUGGGCACAAUACAGAGAUACCUAUACAAUACACAGAGCUGGGCACAAUACAGAGAUAUAUAUCUUCUAUCUUCCUAGACCUCUCUUAGACCACCCUUACAUGAUCUCAUCUUCAGUAAUGCUCCUGCUAUGAUAACUUUAGCUUUCUAUUAAAUAUUGCUUCUGUUAUGAAGCAUAACUCAAGAUAUUUUUUUAAAUAAAAUAAAAAUAUAUAUAUAUAUAUAUAUCAGGCAGAGGUAACAGUGCACAAAUGGAACUUGGUAGAAUGUGCAUUUAUGUAUAAAUUAAUUUAAUAACAAUGCACAUUUCACUGCUCAUUAUGCUAAUGCUAAUAUAUGUACACUUUGUGCAGUUACCUUUGCCUUAUAUUAAACACAUGUUGCAUGAAAAUAAAGAUUAAAUGUUAUUGGUCGAGUUACGUGGCUCAGUCUCAAAUUUGAUUGCUGGGGGCAAGAUGAACUGUUUAGAAGGGGACCGCUUGCAAAAGCUUCGGAGAAGAGAUCUGUAAUUUUUGCGAGUUGUUUAAGAUAUAUCCCUAAUGAAACAAGUGCAUAAUUAAAUGAGCUAAUGUUUCAAUUUGGGGUAUAUCUACUAAACAGUGAUGUUUGUAUUGGGGCAGUGUCCUUGCACAUAUGUCACUGUCACUCCGCAGCAGCUCUGAAGUUCACCAUACUGCCAAAAACAGAUACUGUUAUAUAGUAAUAAUUAACUAAUGUCUCUAUCAGUGAUCAGUGAUUUGUUUUCCAUUUAAUAUGGGGGGGUAAUGAUUGAAAACAAGUUGUUUUUUAAAUCUGCGAUAUGCUCCCUAAUCGUGGAGGUAUUCCAUUGGUUUGUAUGAUAAAGUACCAAGGAUAUCCUUCUAACCUUUUCCAUACAGAUAGAGCAAGUUACCUGUGGGGCUUCAUCCCUAUAUAUAUUAAGUCUUCCACGUGGUAAGACCUUUGUAGGGGGUGGUUAGGUUUUUACUUUAUUAAUUCCUUUUCUCCCGUCAUUUAUAUAUAUGUAUGUUUUUGUAUUUCUUUGGUAUUACUUGUGCUGUGAUGUAAGUGAUGUUAUUUAUUUAUUUCAACUUUAUUAAUUAAUUUAGAUUUUUAUAAAUCCCUCUUUAAGCACAUAUUUGGAACGUGUACAGCGUUAAUGUUUGAAUGUUUCCCACGCCAUUAGUUUCUCUCUUUUUUUUUUUUGUAUGCAGCCUCAAUAAUUGUUAUAUAGUUUCAUGUUUGAGAAUAUAAAUUUUAAUUUAAGUAUUUAAUUUUUGUGAUGUUUAGGAUAUCACACACCUGAUUUAAAUUUUUUUUUUUUUAUUGGCGCUGUAACUUUUACAAAUGAUCUUAUAAGUUGGCAUGCUGCUAUAACAGUUGCAUUAUUUUACUUGUUAAAUCAAAUAAUUACAAAAUAAAUAAAUGCCAGGUGAGUGGCAAAUAAUAAUGUGGCUUUAGUUACAGUAUGUAGUUAUGCAAUGUAUGAUCAUAUCCUGUAACUAAACCCCCAUUCCUUUUUGCCGGUCAAAUAACUUGAGCUUCUGGGCACUGAAAAGGGGGCGCUCUCUGGCUGGUUGGGAAAUAGGGAAAAAUGGAGUUGGAAGUUAGGUAUCUGGGCUAGCCGCGGCCUGGCCAGAGUUCAAGAGAAUUGUGAGCAAGUCCUGCUACAGUCCUCGUUCCUCUCUAGACUCAUUGGAUGGCCUAUAUGGAGAGAUGCUCUUGAUUGCUUGGCAUGGAGGGGUAGGUGUGUAGCGGAGAUCUGGUAUUCCACAGGUUAUCUCCGCUUUUGAUCCCAGUGAGGCUCAGGAACAAGUGUUAUAAAUCCACAAGGCAAGGUUUCCAGCAGGCAAAAUAAUCCAGCAAUAUCCCAACCUCAAUCCCAAUGACUGGACGACACACAGCAUCAGGAGCAGAACUGAACUUUUAUUCACAUAGUGGCCUUAUAAAGCAUUCAUUCAGGGAUUUACAAUCAUUAGUACAGUGUCCAAUCAUACCUGAGUAACCUCCCACACAUCUCCUCCCCUUAGCCUGACUCAUAAUCCCCCUAUACAGAACACAAAUUCCCUGGGUUUUUGGAUGUACACCUAAACCUAGGGGUACCCCUUUAAAUAUUACAUCCCCUGGUAACCCUGAUCUGGGUGAGAGACAUAUCCAAAAAUCACCCAGAUCGGACAUGGGGUUCAGGAAAUCUGUGGAUGUAUUAAAAAGACCGACUGCGCUGGAGGGAACAGACGAAAUUGGUUCCAUGAGAUGGGGCCCUGCGGUCGGUCACAGAAGAAGGGAAUAAAUGGCACGAAAGGCUUGUGCUAUAGAGACUAGGGAGGGUUCGCAUGAAUCCCCUUGUUCGGGUGUUUCUUUCUACCGAACGGGUGGUUGUUCAGUAGUUUGGAUAUGAAUUUAAGGGCAGUGUGGAGGUCUCAGCGGUGUUCGCCUAGCCGAGUGUCCGAUUUGGGUUCCAGACACUCGACGGCAAAACACAGCUGUUCGGGAGUUUUAACGUGUUCGUUUCCCGAAUGGCGGCCACCCCGCAAACAAAGGACCCACUGCACAGAUUGCCAAUUACCCGUUCGCAACAUUGUUGCAACCGGUAUAUGGAGGCACACUUCCUACUGGGGUGGUCUGACUGUUAGGUAGUUUAAUUCUCAUAAGGACUGGAGUGAAUCUACCGAACAAUCAGGCGAAUGCUGCAUACAGUUCCACAUACAUAGAUACAAUUUAACCGAAUUCAUAAUAAUAAAUGUAGUUUUUAGAACAGCCCAAUGCCAUCCGCUACAAGGUGAUGAGAGCCAGGGUUAGGGACAUGGUUUCUUGGGCAAAACCUGGGGGAUAGACACAGUGAUUAUGCCUGUUUGGGGGGUGAAGUGCGGGGCUGUUCCUGGUAUAGGCAUGGGUGACUGGGUAGUCUGUCACACUACUAAAAAAUUUGGCUGCUAGUAGAGUGUUAAAAUAAAGUUAUAACAUGCACAGGAUUCUCCACCGAAGUGUGAAUUGUGAAAAGUCAAACUUAAUAUCAAAUACAAGAUUAAAAUAGCUAAAAUUCAGGAAAACAAAAAUAUAGCUAAAAUAGCUAAAAUGGAAUAAUUCUCCAAGUUAGUUGGUUUGGCCUAUAAUUAAAAUCCACUUAGAAUUCUUAACAACCCACACUUUGGUGAAUAAUCACUGUGGUUCAAACUGUUUUUUUGCCUUCUUUAGGAUAAACAGAAAAACAACAAAUGUAAGGCAGAACUUGAUGGACACAUGUCUCUUUUCAUCCUACGUAACUAUGUAAAGCUAAUGUGAAUACCCAAGUUUUCUUUACAUAGCGUGGUUUUAAAAGGAUUGGCUAUCUCAAAGUGUAAGAUUUUGGUGAACUUUCUGUUAUUAAAAUUUGGGGAAUGGUUAAAAAGAUAUGUUUGGCUUUAGCUUCUCACUGUUAAAACACCUGUGUUCACAGAAGUACCCUUACAGAAUGGAUUCAUUCUCUUAGUCUAGAUGGAUGGGGGAUGGGAUGGGUGGUUGGGGGUUGGGAGACUCUAAAGAGAUGUAUUUCAUGAAAAGACUGCAUAGAAUUUCAAGAAUGCAAAACACAACACAUUAGGCUGUGCAAUCAGAAGAUUUUUGAAAAAGGGACAAAAUUAUUUUUGUUGUUGUUGUUGUAGUAAUCAGUAUCAAAUGUAGUCGUUUUCUUUUUCUUAAAAAACAUAAGAAGCUAAUCCAAAUUCUCCCCAAAACGCCAGGAAAAACUAGACUGGAUAAAGAGGACAAUGCGGCUCUAUAUUAGGAUUAAAAAGAUAAUCCAGACUAGGACACCUUGCUCACGGUGCCUAGAGGGAUAUCAGCGAUACCUCACUGACAAUGCCUAAAAAGGCUGAAACGAUCGUCUGGGAUUGCUGUAUCUCUCGCGCAGAGAGAGCCAACCUGCAUUUUGGAUCUGUUCUGCCCUUUUGGGUGGGAAAAGUCUGAUAUGCUAAUGGCCCUGGUUCUUUUUGUAAUGGCGCAAGAUGAACUAUAACCAGCUUGAUGUCUAAGUGUGGACCCAUCGAAGGGCAGACUAUUUGAGCUGUUGUCCGUUCUCAGUACUCUCUUACACCUUGUUUUUUGCUCUCUAUAUUAGGAUAUGUCAUCUUAAACAUCCCUUGCACAUGGCUAUGAUGAACCAAGAGGCUGAUGUUUGAAUUAAAAAAACGGAGUCGGGAAAACCUUCCAAAGCGCAUUUUACGCAUCCUGAGUCUCCACAUGUUACAGUACAGAAUUGAUUAGAUGUUCUUAGUAUCAUUAGAAUAAUCGCUAGCACACACAGAGUUCUGUAUAAACACAGGGUUUAUUUGCAUUCUGCAUGAACUACAUUAAAACAAAUUACUUUAAUUACAAUGAAGUCCAUAUUGUAUGAACUUGUGUAAACCACGUCUUCUCUUUAUUCUUCCACUUUCUGUGAAAUAGAAAAUUGUACACAUUGUAUUACAGUAGAAUGUAACCAAAAUCAAAUCACCCACCCUAGUUUAUAUAUUGGAUAGAAAGCUAUCUGCAGUGCAACUGAACUAAAUAUUCUUAAAUCUUCAUGUAUAGUGGGAAAUAUGACGUUUUAAAUUCAAUUUAUACAAAAUUACAGUAAAGGCAGGGCUCAAAAUUACCACUUGCCACUAGCCAAUGCUGUGUGAAAAUGUAGCCUUGUUGAGUAGAACAUUUCUCCUGGCCAACAGAAAUUCCAGACUUGCAGUUGUAAGUAACGUUUAAGGUCUGGCUAGUCAUAUAUUUGAAAAUUUAAGCCCUGCUAAAGGUAAUAUUUUUUACUUCCCCCAUACACACACACACACACGAUUAUCCAAUGCAUUAUUUUUAGCAUUGACACUAGUUUAAUUCUCCUGAAAACCUGGCUGGGCCUUUCAUUCGUGGUACCAUCUGACCUCUUCAUCAAUAGUCCCCCUUAGACCAGCUCAUCUGACUUCAUUAAUAUGUCCUAUUCUCCAUACUACCCAUCAGUGAACCUAUCUAUCCUUCUAUCAGUUAAAAUAAAUAUUAAUCAUAUUAAGUUGUAAAAGUGCCUUUUAUUACAGUCAGCAAGAUAUGACCUGUUAACAUUUUGACUCUAAAGUGAGUCACUUCUUAGCUGAAACAUUGAGGAUCACUAUUUGGUGGUUGUAAUAAAAACACAUUUGUAAAUGUAAAAACAUCUCAAUAUUUCAUACCGAUAUUACACUUCACUGAUUCAACUGGAUGCAAAGGUAAAAUGCUCUCUUUUAUGAUUUCAUAAUAACUAGGAUGAUCAGUGUUAUGUAUAAUAACAAUCAGAGUAUAAAUCUCACUGUAUCAGAAACGUUCAUACCUUGGUGAUAGUGCGGCUCUUGACUCUAAGCUUGUUGACCUGAGAUUCAGCAAUAUCAGCCCGUUCCUCUGCCUCUUCUAGUUCAUGUUGAGUCUUCCUGAAUCUGGAAAGAUGUAUAUUUGUCUGUUCCUCCUAAACCAGAAGAAUGGGUUGGUUAGAAUGUCUGUUGCAUCUUAGCAGUGAAAUCCAGAAAGGGACUAGGCAAAUAAUACUUACGCUCUCCUCGGCCUGCCUCUUGUAAGCUUUCACCUUCAGCUGAAGUUUGUCUACUAAGUCCUGCAACCUGAAGACAUUCUUCUUGUCCUCUUCAGACUGUGAUUUAUUAAAACAUAUUAAGAUUUGGGCUCAUUAUAUACAUAAUUAAAUAUAUUUGUCUAAUAGGCCACUAGAUUAAACGAGCGAAAAUAAAAAAUAAUUAAACCAAGCCCACCUGGUAUGUCAGCUCUUUUACUCUCCUCUCGUACUUGCGUACACCCUUAAUGGCAUCACUGCCUCUCUUCUGUUCGGCAUCCAGCUCAUUUUCCAGCUCACGCACCUGGAUAGCGAGGACAUUAUAUUGUUAUGUUACAUACUUUGUACACAUGAAUUAAAUAUAUAAUGAUGUAAAUAGAGAUCUAAACUCACUCUGGACUCUAAUUUCUGGAGCUGCUUCUUUCCUCCUUUCAUUGCCAGUUGCUCGGCCUCAUCCAAACGGUGCUGGAGAUCCUUCACGGUCUGUUCCAGGUUCUUCUUCAUCCUCUCAAGGUGAGCGCUGGUGUCUUGUUCCUUCUUUAAUUCUUCAGCCAUCAUGGCAGCCUAGUAGAAUCACCAAAGCAUAUUUCAGUUAUUGGAUUUAUGCCCCUCCUACACAUGAUGCACAUAGCCUGAAAAAAAUAGUAUUCAUUGGUAACUAGACAUACAUCUGUGAUGGCCUUCUUAGCUUUUUCUUCUGCAUUCCUAGAUUCUUGCAGAGAAUCUUCAACUUCGCUCUGUAGUUGUGAGAGAUCAGAUUCAAGCUUCUUCUUGGUGUUGAUGAGGCUGGUAUUCUGUUUGUUGAGUAGAAGGAGAACAAGUGAGGUCCUAGUUCAUAUAUAUAAUAUUUCUUUAAAAACUGUAAAAAAAGGGAAUCUUAGAACAUCCAUACCUGAGUGUGGAGCAGCUGUACACGCUCUGUGACAUCAAGAAGCUCUUGUUCUGCCACUUUGCGUCCACGCUCAGUCUGUUCCAAGGCAGUUCUAAUUUCUUCAAUUUCAGCAGUCAUGAGGUUGUUGCGUCUUUCAACAAUAGCCAACUGUUCCUUCAAAUCAUCAUUUCCUCGAACAGCAUCAUCGAGGUGUAGUUGGGAAUCCUACCAUCAUUAAAAGCCAUGUUAUCCAAACACAUAUUCAUGCAAGAUUAAGCAUUUCUUUUCACAGUUAUUUACCUUAAGUUGUCCCUGGACAUUCCUGAGAUGUUUCUGUGCUUCUGCUGCCUGGCGGUUGGCAUGGCUUAGCUGAAUCUCCAUCUCAUUAAGGUCUCCUUCCAUCUUCUUUUUGAUUCGAAGGGCAUCAUUCCUGCUUCUGAUCUCAGCAUCAAGGGAGCUCUGCAUGGUCUCCAGAGAUCUCUGACUAUUCCUCUUCAGCUGUUCAAUCUCUUCAUCCUUCUCUGCAACUUUUCUGUCCACCUCGGACUUUACUUGAUUUAACUCAAGUUGUACACGAAGUAUUUUUGCCUCCUCAUGCUCCAGAGAACCCUAGGUACAGAUUCAAGUGUGUGUUUAGAGUAUUGCAGAACUAUCAUAUGAACAUGUUUUUAAUAUUGUUAAAACAAUACUUGCCUCUGCUUCUUCUAGAGCUGACUGCAAGUCAAAUUUCUCUUGCUCCACCUGUUUUUUAGCCUUUUCUAUUUCAUGAACACUCUUUCCUGUCUCUGCAACUUGUUCUGUCAGAUCAGAGAUCUCCUCUGGAAAAACACAAUUAAUAACAAGUUAAAAACUGGUGAAUCGGCGUGAAGUUUUGGAUUAUGUUAUAUACAUGAUAAGUUAACACUUUCAUGAAAUCAACACCUUGAUUUAAACAGUAUUAUCAACAUUCACAUCAUACUCACGUUGAAGGUUCUUGUUCUCUCUCUUAAGAGUCUCAAGCUGGUCCAGAGCUUCCUCAUAGGAAUUCUUCAUCUUGAAGACCUCUGUGCUUAGAGACCUGGUCUCCUUCUGAGAGGCUUCUAGCUCUGCCUGAGUUUCUUCAUAUUUUUGCUUCCAUUCAGACAGAAUCUAUGUAAUAAAACCAAGUAUUUUAUGUAAAAGUCUCUCACACACAUCAAAAGAUCCCAAGGUGAGAAUUUUGUUCACUCAAAGAUAAAAACUUACAGUGGCUUGUUGAUUUGGCCUUUUAUUUAUUUUUUUGUUACUAUGAUAUACUGAAAAUAUUUUAGCUAUUUUAAAAUGUAGCAUUUCUAGCAUUUUGCUCUACAUUGUUUUAAAUACAUUUACCACAUUCAAUUAAAAUGUGUAAUAUAUAGGAAAUAAACCUUGUCAAAAUUCCUCUGCUUCUUAUCAAGAGCUGCACAGGCGGAGUUGGAGCGUUCUACGUCCACCAUAAGAUCUUCCACUUCUCCUUGGAGUCUCAGUUUGGUCUUUUCCAAAGAUGCACACUUAGAGUUGACAGCCUCAAUUUGCUCCUCCGCUUCCUGGAGACGCUGGGCAAGUUUCUUCCUAUUAUAUUAAUAUCAAAUUGGAUGAGUGUCUUUCUAGGUAUAGAGUUUUUAGUUAAGGAAAAAAUAAAUGUUGAUAGAGUGAUGUACAGAAAACCAAAAACCAGCAGAUAAAAGUCAAUUUCUAAAAAUCUGUACUGUUACAUUAGAACAUUAUUCAUUUUUACUUCUUAUCUUUUAAAAAUAACUAAUGGUAAAUAUGGACAUUUUAAGUUGGUUUCAAGAGUAUUAGUUGGCUAAAAUAAUGCCUUUGUAGUGAUAGGAACACCACAAACAUAGCCCUCAGGAGAAAUCGCAAUCCUACUAUCAGUUGUUAACAAUGUAAAGUAAUAUUUCAGAUUCCACAUGGUGAAAAAAAUGGGCACCAAUUAUUCUAAGGAAUCACUAGUCUUUAUAAAUUUGUUUAGUUUUAUAUCACUAUUCCUGCAUGCAAACUUAUUUAAAAAAAAAAUUUUUAUUUAAGCAUGUGGAUAGAUACAUCAGGAAUCUAAUAUUUGUUAGUUAAAUCUUGUGGUGAACCAUGUUCUUUCACAAGGAAUAGUACUAUCUAUUGUAGACAUACUUGGCUUCUUCCAGUUCCUCUGUGCGCUGAAUGGCAUCAGUCUCGUAUUUUGUCCUCCAUUGAGCAACCUCUCCAUUGGCUUUGGAUAGAGAUCUCUGCAACUCAGCCUUGGCUUCCUGUUCCUCUUCAUAUUGCUCCCUGAGAAGGUCACAGUCAUGGCGGGCAGAUUGCAAUGCAUGAGCUAGGGCGUUCUUGGCCUUAAAGGUGACAUGACAUUAUAUUAAUGUUAAACAAGAAAGAACAUUAUAAAUCUAUAUUCAUCAAUGUUAGGUUUAGACAAUAUUAGCUGAUGUUUUUUUUUUUUUUUUUGUGUUUACCUUUGUCUCCUCCUCUAGAUGACGUUUUAGUUCUUCUGUUUGCUGGGUGAAAGCCUGUUUACCUCUGGAUAGCUGAGAAAUUAGAGAGUCUUUUUCCUCCAACUGACGAGAGUAUUCCCCUAAUGAAUACAAUGAGCAUUACACUAAAUUAAAUCUUCCAUUUCUAUGAGAUACUUAUAUUAACAUUUAAUGCAUGGGCCAGUUACCAUUUUCCGUCUGAAGACGGGCUUUCUGAGUAUUGAUGUCAUUCAAUACACGAAGGUGCUCCUCCUCUUUAGUCUUCACUUCACUGUAUUGGUCCUCUAAUGUUCUGCACAUCUUCUCCAGAUUUGACUAUUGAGAAGCAAAAAAUUGAAUUUUAGGAAAAUUACAAACAGAUGUUAAUAUUUAUCAACACCUGCUAAUGAGCCACUAAAGUUGACAAUACAAUCUCACCAUUCCAGUUAUAUUUUACCUUAGGAAAGGAAUUCCCAACACUUUAAGGAACGAUCAAAAAUAAAUGAUUUCAAUGCCUCAAAAGACUUGUAAGGGAUUUGAAUACACUUUCCUAACAAAUAACUAAUAUCCUGAAAUAUUAUAUAUAUAUAUGUAUAUCAUUACUUAAGACCUGCUUUUUUUUGUUAACCUUGCAAUUUCAACCUAUCAUGCUCCACUUCAGUAUUCAGUUUGGUCAAGAAAUCACAGUUUAGGCCUUUUUUAAAGGUAAUAAUGUUUUCUGACUUUAACUGUAUUACAUUCAAAAUAUGAGUUCCCUUUAAUUGCUGUCCCAAUAUACCAGCCAAAAGUUAGAAAAUAUUAUCAGCAAAUUAGUGAUGCCGGAAUCUAAUUCUAUGGAUUUUUGACAUUUUUAUGUUUUUUGUUUUCAUAUGCUUAGUCCUUACCUUAGCUUUGGAGACAGAGUCCAUGUUACUGGCCAGGUCAUCAAUCUCCAUCUUCAGCUCACUCUUUUCCUUUUCCAGUUUCUGUUUCACACGUUGAAGGUUAUCAAUUUGUUCUCCAAGUUCCGCAACACUAUCAGCUUGCUUUUUACGGAGGGCGGAGGCUGUGGCCUCAUGCUGCAGUGUGGCCUCUUCCAGAUCACGUCUCAUCUUUUGGAAUUCUGCUUCGCGCUUCUUGUUCAUCUCAAUCUGAGCUGAGGUUGCUCCACCAGCUUCUUCCAGACGCUCACUGAUCUCUUCAAGCUCCCUGGAUAAGUCAGCACGUUGUUUCUCAGCCUUGGCUCUAGCUGCUCGUUCUGCUUCAAUUUCCUCUUCCAGCUCUUCAAUACGGGCCUGAAAUGUUGAUAAAAUAGUAUAGUCAGAAACUUGGCUUUGAACCUCAAAGAUUGACUGUUGUGUUUUGGUUUGGAAGGUACCUGUAGCUCUUUAAUUUUCUUCUGCAGCUGAGUACCCAGAGCCUGUUCAUCUUCAAUCUUGCUUUGCAGUUGGCUGAUUUCAAAAUCCUUCCUGUUAAACAAGAGCUAUAUGUCUAACACCAGUGAUACAAAACCGUUAUCAAUAUCAAUAAACUUACUUGCUAAUAGUAUCAGACAUUAACAAACAUGGGUUCUCUAACUACAUUGCAUAAUAUUUAAAAUAAUUCACAAAAAGCUAAAUAAAGAUGUAUUUUAAUUUGCAGAUGUCCAAUAAAUCAAGAUGUAAGCAAUAGAGGAAUAAGUGUAGUGAACAUUUUUGGAUAUAUUUACUAAAGUAAAAAUUCUGAAUUAAUUCAAAAUAAAUUUAAAGUUUAAGGCCAGAGUAGCUAAUGUGCAAUUAUAGUUGACUUAGAUCAUUUUUCCUGUUUGCCUAUUUUGUUCUUAAAUUUGAAUUUGACCUUAAUAUCACUUAUAAUUCUAACGUUAGCGCAUACACCUGUUUGAGUUGAUUGUCCAAGACAUAUAUGUUCAGAUUAACACAACAUUUUACUGUUAAAGACAUGAAGGGAAUAGAAAAAGAGAGGAGAGAGAGGAAAAAGAAGACACUAGUGAAAAUUAAUUAGGGAGAAGAAAGAGACUGGGGAGAGUAUAUAUUUCUUCUACAGUGCAUGUUUCUGGUUAGUAAGCUGUAGAUGCAAUGCCAGUUGUAUUACUUUUUAACUUUUUCAUCUAGCUGCUGCCUGUCAUUUUCCAAAUCCAUGGUAGAUUCCUGGGACAAUUUUAGAUCACCCUCCAGCUUUCUCUUGGCUCUCUCCAAAUCCAUGCGGAGCUUCUUCUCUUGCUCCAGUGAACCCUCCAGCUAAUGGGACAUUGAAAGGAUUUAUUGAACACUCAACACAAGACGGUAGUUUUCCUAAUUUCAAGUCAAGUCGAAAAAUUUACAACUGUCGACUAAGUUAUGUAAUGUACACCAUCAGUAUCACAAAACAAAGAUAUUGAUAUCGCGUAUUACUUGUCAUGGGCAAGAAUGUCGCUGAAAGUUAGAAUUUUACAUCACAUGUACGUACAUCAUCUACUUGUUGUUCCAGCUUGGUUUUGGCUUUGGUGAGAGUGUUGACUUUGUCUUCUUCAGCUUGCAAGUCAUCCAGAGUUUGCUGGUGGGCUUCUUGAAGGGCUUUCUUCUCCUUAGUCAACUUGGCAACGUUUUCAUCAAGAACAGCCAUUUCUUCUGUAAGGUUUUUCACCUAGAUUUCGACAUUUUGAUUAAUUUAUGUGUGUCAGGUGUGUUAUGUGUCAUUUGUAUGACUAGAAUCAAAGUAUAUGAAAACAAAAUCAUAUAAUAAUGUUUCCUAAGCAUUAUUCCACUUCGUAUUUUGUUUAUUUUUUACAUUGUUUAUCUAAAAUAAUAUUUAAGGCUUUUAAUAGAUAAUAACUUGGAUUAAUAUCUGUAGUGAAAGUAAUUUGCAUGAGUAGAAACAAACUGUGUGAAGAAAAACUAUGAUGUAUCAUUAGAACUAUACUACACAGUAGUUUAUUUUUUUACAAUACUUAUCUGCUGUAAUAGUUAAGGCUUAUAAUAAUUAAUAGGGAUUAUUCAUUACUUUGUUUUCUGUGGCAUGUUUCUCCUUCUCAACCUUGGCCAAUGUUAGCUCAAGGUCAUCAAUAUCUUUCUUCAGUUCAGAGCAUUCAUCCUCCAGUUUCCUCUUCUUGGCUGUUAGCUCAGCAUUAGAUUCCUCCUCAUCUUCCAGCCUUUCAUUAAUUUCCUUGACCUUUGCUUCCAGUUGAAUCUUGGCUUUGAUCAGUCCCUCACAUCUUUCUUCUGCAUCUGACACAGCCUCAGAUUC